This is an RNA transcript of Tarenaya hassleriana, 4349 nucleotides long. It is a transcript of the gene named abscisic-aldehyde oxidase-like, with no coding region annotated. The record is from RefSeq and is a predicted model, not a curated record. NCBI's taxonomy places the organism in Eukaryota, Viridiplantae, Streptophyta, Magnoliopsida, Brassicales, Cleomaceae. The transcript has 12 exons.
GAGCUACAGUAGAAGAAAGGGGAGAGAGAGAGAGAGAGAGAUUUGAAGAAAUACACGAGAGAACCACAAGUAUCGAAAAGAUUACGAGAAGCAAAAUGGGGAAAAUAUAGAGUUCGUAGCAUAAUUCGGGUUAUUUUGUUCGACGUUGUCGAGAAAAUGGCGGGUGGGAAUUUGGUGUUUGCUGUCAAUGGAGAGAGGUUCGAGGUCUCCUCGGUCAAUCCUUCAAUGACAUUGCUCGAGUUCUUGCGCUCCAACACUGAUUUCAGGAGCGUCAAGCUCGGUUGCGGCGAAGGGGGUUGUGGUGCUUGCAUUGUACUUCUAUCAAAAUAUGAUCCCACUUCAGACCGGGUUGAUGACUUUACUAUAAACUCGUGCCUAACCCUUCUUUGCAGUAUAAAUGGUUGUUCCAUAACAACGUCUGAGGGACUCGGAAAUACACAAAAAGGAUUCCACCCUAUUCACGAGAGGAUAGCCGGAUUCCAUGCCUCUCAAUGUGGGUUUUGUACUCCUGGGAUGUGCAUUUCAAUCUAUUCGGCUCUUCUCAAUGCUAAUAAGUCCAAUGAGUCACAACCUUCUCCCGGAUUUUCCAAGAUGCCCGUUUCCGAAGCAGAGAAGUCUAUUUCUGGAAAUCUUUGUCGUUGCACAGGCUAUCGUCCUAUCGUCGAUGCUUGUAAGAGUUUUGCCGCUGAUGCUGACAUAGAGGAUUUGGGUUUUAACUCCUUUUGCAAGAGAGGAGAAAGCAAAGAAAAGAUGAUAGCAAAUCUGCCUCCAUAUAAUCCUAAAGUCCAUCUUCUCAAUUUUCCAGAGUUCUUGAAGAAAGAGAUUGUUCCGUAUAAUGUUUUGGAUCAGGCGAAAUACAGUUGGAACACUCCUGCUAGCAUCUCAGAGCUUCAAAACAUAUUAGAGGGUAACCAGGCCGCUUCGGUAAAUUUAGUUGCUGGCAACACUGGAUCAGGUUACUAUAAGGAACAAGAAAGGUAUGACAUAUAUAUUGAUCUCACUCACAUUCCUGAACUGUCAACGAUUAGGAAGAACGAUACUGGAAUUGAAAUUGGAGCAGCUGUUACGAUAUCCAAAGCUAUUGCUGCUCUGAAGGAAGAGAGCAAGUUUGGUAAUAUUUUCACAAAAAUUGCUAGUCACAUGGAGAAAGUUGCCAACAACUUUAUCAGGAACUCGGGUAGUAUAGGGGGUAAUCUAGUGAUGGCUCAAAGCAAAGGAUUUCCUUCUGACAUCACUACUGUUUUGCUCGCUGUCGAUGCAUCAGUAAACAUAAUGAAUGGCGAGAAACAAGAGAAGCUGAGACUGGAGGAUUUUCUUGGUCUUCCUUCAGUAUUGGAGUCUACCAAAGUUCUUCUGAGUGUAGAAAUUCCUUUCUGGAAUGCUUCUACUGGUGCCAACACAGAUCUUAUCUUUGAAACCUAUCGAGCUGCACCUUACCCUCUUGCAAGCACACUGCCAUAUUUGAACGCUGCCUUCUUAGCACAAGUCUCUCGCCAUGGAUCCUCAAAUGACAUCAUGGUGGAUAAAUGUUUGUUGUCAUUUGGUUCAUAUGGAGGUGAACAUUCGAUCAGGGCAACACAAAUUGAGGAGUUCUUGACCCGGAAAGUACUCAACCAUGCUGUUCUUUAUGAAGCUGUUAGGUUACUUGGAAACAUUGUAGUUCCCAGCGAAGACACCUCUUACCCUGAGUACAGGAAAAGCUUGGCUAUCGGGUUUCUUUUUGAGUUUUUCUAUCCGUUGAUUGCUACUGACAACCAUUUUGAUCUUGAAAAACCUCCAACUUUGUUGUCAUCUGCUCAGCAGCUCAUUGAGAGUAAUGAAUACUUUCCUGUUGGUGAACCGGUCAUCAAAGUCGGGGCUGCUAUGCAGGCUUCCGGUGAGGCCAUUUUCGUUGAUGACAUUCCAUCUUUACCAAAAUGUGUACAUGGAGCAUUCAUUUGUAGCACACAACCUUUUGCUCGAAUUAAGAGCAUAGGUUUCAAAGAAAAUGUGAUACCAACCGGAGUUCUGGCACUUAUUACCGUCAAGGAUAUUCCACAAGGGGGACAAAACAUCGCUUACUUGACAUCUGAUCUUGACUCGGGCCCAUUAUUUGCAGAUGAGCUUGCUGAAUCCACCGGACAGAGAAUUGCUCUUGUGGUUGCCGAUACGCAGAAACAUGCAGACAUUGCGGCAAGCCUUGCCAUAGUCGAGUACGACAUGGAGAAUUUAGACACACCGAUAUUAUCUGUUGAGGAUGCAGUUAAAAGAUCUAGCUUCUAUGAGGUCCCUUCAAAGUAUUAUCUGCCACCGAUUGGUGAUGUUUCAAUAGGAAUGUCUGAAGCUGAUUUCAAGAUCCUCUCAGCCGUGUUCCGACUUGGGUCGCAAUACUUCUUCUAUAUCGAGCCACAAGCAGCGCUUGCCUUACCAGAUGAAGACAAUUGUGUGGAGGUAUAUACUGCAAGCCAAGCCCCUCAGUACACACAUACCGUAAUUGCUAAUUGUCUUGGCAUCCAAGAACAUAACGUGCGAGUGAUCACCCGAAGAGUUGGAGGUGGAUUCGGUGGGAAAACUACAAAAUCCACGCCUGUUGCGACAGCAUGUGCACUAGCUGCACACAAACUGCAGCGUCCUGUGAAAAUGUAUCUGAACCGAAAGACGGACAUGGUAAUGGCGGGGGGAAGGCACCCCAUGAAAAUAACGUAUAACGUCGGUUUCAAAUCAAAUGGAAAGAUCACAGCACUAGAGCUAGAGAUAUUAAUAGAUGGAGGGUUCGAUAAGGAUGUAAGCCCAAAGAUGCCAAACUUUAUGUGGGGUCCCAUGAGGAAGUAUGAUUGGGGUGCCAUGUCCGUUGAUGUGAAAGUUUGUAAGACAAAUCUGCCCAGCCGGACAACUAUGAGAGCUCCUGGGGAGCUACAAGGCUCAUACAUUGGCGAAGUUAUCAUUGAGAAUGUCGCUUCUUCCCUCAACAUGGAUGUCGAUGCAGUGAGGAAGACUAAUCUUCAUACGUACGAGAGUCUCACCAAGUUCUAUCAGCAAACUGCUGGUGACCGAAAUGAGUAUACCUUGCCUUCGAUAUGGGACAAGUUGGAGAUAUCUUCCGGGUUCAAGGAAAGGGUUGAAAUGGUGAAAGAGUUCAACGGGUCUAAUGUAUGGCGCAAACGGGGAAUUUCUCGAGUACCCAUUGUUCAUCAAUGUACACAGAGGGCAACUCCAGGAAAAGUAAGCAUUUUUAGUGAUGGAUCUGUUGUUGCUGAGGUCGGAGGUAUUGAGCUAGGUCAGGGGUUGUGGACUAAGGUACAACAGAUGACUGCUUAUGGUCUUGGUUUGAUCAAAUGUGACGGAAGUGAGAAGCUUUUGGAGAAAAUACGGGUUGUACAGGCCGAUACGAUCAGUUUGACUCAAGGCGGUUUAACAAACGGUAGCACGACAUCCGAGAACAGCUGUGCUGCCAUUGGUCUCUGCUGUGAAAUCUUGGUGAACAGACUUAAACCUAUGAUGGACAAGAUUCUAGAGAAAACCGGUUCAGUGAAUUGGGACACACUUGUUACUCAGGCUUAUGCUCAAACUCUGAGCUUAUCUGCAAGUGCCUUUUAUGUGCCGGAGACUUCUUCGAAGGACUACCUCAACUACGGGGUUGCAAUCAGUGAGGUGGAAGUGAACCUUUUGACAGGCGCAACGGAAAUUCUGCGAUCUGACAUCAUUUACGACUGCGGAAAAAGCCUAAAUCCUGCUGUCGACUUAGGACAGAUCGAAGGAGCAUUUGUUCAAGGAAUUGGGUUUUUCAUGCUGGAAGAGUACACCACUGACGAGAAUGGACUCGUGGUUCAAGACGGGACGUGGAACUACAAAAUUCCAACUGUAGACACCGUUCCUAAACAGUUCAACGUCGAGGUCCUUAACAGCGGUUAUCACAAGAACCGCGUUCUUUCCUCCAAAGGGUCAGGUACCCGACCAUCGGCUACAGCGAGGGAUUGACCGAAAAGGGUUUGUGAGAGAGGGACAAAGCCCAGCGAAGAAGGCGAGGUUCGAGAGGGGUGGAAAUGAAUUUCUCUGCCUCUUCGUCCCUAGCCGCCAGCUCGCCUCUCUGUCCCCCUUCUGUUUUGGGUUUCACAGGACGAAGCCCGUAUUUGAACCCACAGCUUGGCCCUCGUCGGCAAAAGACCCGUCCUCGCACUCAACGGCAGUAGGGUUUUCAAAUUUUGGGUACUCACACCUACCGAUCCGUCGAGUUCGGAUACGCACGUCGAGUCCUAAUUGAAACAACAGAACGAACUGCUUCAGGUGAGCCUCCGUUGCAUCUCGCCUCGUCUGUUCACUGCGCUGCGAGAUCAGCCAUUAGAGAAGCUCGAAAACAGAUCUUCGCUUGG